Molecule: small RNA, 693 nt
Filed under: Pongo abelii (Sumatran orangutan)
Lineage: Eukaryota; Metazoa; Chordata; Mammalia; Primates; Hominidae
Description: processed transcript
Source: RNAcentral
AGUACAAUCUGCUGCCCAGGACCUGGACAUUGACAGAUAAAAUGAAGUGGGUCAGUUGACUACAGAGGGAAGAAUAUGAAGAACUGCUUCGUUAUGCUAUAGUGACUCCAAAUAUUGAACCCGGUGCUUCACAGUCAUCUCAUCCUAAGGGAGAAUUGGUGCCAGAUGUCAGAAUUUCUGCAAUUCAUGAUAUUCUUCAUAGUCAAGGAAAUAACUCUGAAGUAAGAGAAACUGCAGUAGAAGUUGGAAAAGGAUGUGAUUUCAAUAUUUCAAGUCAUUCAAAGACAGAUGCUACAACUUUUCUUUUGUUCUAGAGUCAUCACCAGUGUUAUCCCCAAGGAAGCCUUCUCACCCGGUCAUGGAUUUUUUCAGUUCACAUCUUUUAGCUGACUCUUCCUCACCAGCAACAAAUUCUAGUCAAACAGAUGCCCAUGAAAUACUUGUGAGCGAUUUUCUCGUUUCUGAUGAAAACCUUCAGAAGAUGGAAAAUGUACUUGAUCUUUGGAGUUCAGGUCUUAAGACAAACAUCAUAUCUGAACUAAGUAAAUGGAGACUUAAUUUUAUUGACUGGCACCGAAUGGAAAUGAGAAAAGAGAAAGAAAAACAUGCAGCACAUUUAAAACAACUGUGUAAUCAGAUCAGUGACUUGAAGGAGCUGCAAAAAACCUUUGAAAUCUCCAUUGGGAGAAAAGA